RNA transcript from Stegodyphus dumicola, 505 nucleotides. It is a transcript of the gene named maltase A2-like, with no coding region annotated. The record is from RefSeq and is a predicted model, not a curated record. Lineage: Eukaryota; Metazoa; Arthropoda; Arachnida; Araneae; Eresidae.
GCGCGUCAAAUUUCUAUCCUAAAAGAUCACCGCAGCGCCCUCCCCUCGCAGGCAUUUCCCGACCAGACGAUCAUUGUGUCUUCAGCAUCGCGAGGGAGCAGCAGAGGGGUUGUCGUGCUCCAUAUUCGUCCAGUGUCAUGUGUGAGAGCGUCUCCCAGCGCUACUUGUCAUUUUGUCGCUUGGUCUGACAGCAUCAUUUGGCAAUCUUUCUUAAUUCCGCUAUUCACGGGAAUUUCAGAGGAAGUGGCUGGGGAAAACAAAUCUUUGGUCAGAAGCAGUGUUUAUUGUGGGAAAGAAUGACGAAAAUAGUUUGGCAGUUUUAAUUUGAGAAACUGAACUCCGUUUUGUUUUCGAAAAGUGGCGGAAGAAGCUCCUUCAAAGAGACAAAAAAAAAAAAAAAAUGACGAAAAGGCGCAAUUUCCCUCGACCUGGAAAUACUCGUACUGUAUUUACCUCGUGAUAUCUGUAGAGAUAACACAAAAUAAAAUGUGCUGUUCCAAGCUGA